Long non-coding RNA from Setaria italica (foxtail millet), 655 nucleotides. RefSeq lists it as uncharacterized. NCBI's taxonomy places the organism in Eukaryota, Viridiplantae, Streptophyta, Magnoliopsida, Poales, Poaceae. The record is from RefSeq and is a predicted model, not a curated record. The transcript is spliced from 2 exons.
UGCUGUUCAUUUCCACUGCCUGCCAAGCUCUCGCUACCAUCAACAUCCACUCUCCCAUUUAGGCUAAGCGUGUGGAGUUAGAUUAGAGAGCGUCUCCAACCGAUGCCUUGCUUGGGCUCUCAUAUCGUUUUUGAGAGUUUUGCCAAAAAAACGUCCUGCAACCGAACUCUCAUCUCGAUCCCGUCCUCAUCCGGACUCUCAUCCGCCGGCCUCGGACUCUCAUCCGGAGGAGCUCCCGGCUGAACCCUCAUCCGGCCGAGGCGAGCAACUGCCGCUCCUCCCGCGCCGCCGCGGAGUCUUCGCGCCUGUACGCAUGACAGAUGGGCGAAAUGACGAUGAAGAUUUCGACUACGACGGUGUUGGCCAAGUUGUGAUACCUACGCCACAUGAAGUGCGUAACCGUACUCAAGAACUACAUGAUUUCAUCCAAGUUCAUCAUAAUAUAAGAGACUUGCAAGGCCAUUCUCCACUUCAAGAAGAUCUAAUCGAGCACCUGUGGUACCGACAUGCGGACAUGCAUGUAUUAUUUUCUCGUUAAUGUGCCAUGUAGUUUCUUUAAAUCAUGUAUUUUAUUCGUGUGGACUUUGUACGAACACCCACCUGUAGACUAUCAUGUUCAUUUUUGUUUGUCUUUAUUAUGCGUGGAUUAUUAGCA